This 492-nucleotide ribosomal RNA is filed under the name uncultured bacterium. RNAcentral's name for it is "partial 16S ribosomal RNA". It matches the Rfam family "Bacterial small subunit ribosomal RNA", at positions 29 to 507 of the family's 1533-position model. The record is from RNAcentral.
AUUGAACGCUGGCGGCAUGCUUUACACAUGCAAGUCGAACGGUAACAGGCCUUCGGGUGCUGACGAGUGGCGAACGGGUGAGUAAUGCAUCGGAACGUACCCAGAGGUGGGGGAUAACGCAGCGAAAGCUGUGCUAAUACCGCAUGUGAUCUGAGGAUGAAAGCGGGGGACCGAGCAGCAAUGUUUGGCCUCGCGCCUUUGGAGCGGCCGAUGUCGGAUUAGCUAGUUGGUGGGGUAAAGGCCUACCAAGGCGACGAUCCGUAGCUGGUCUGAGAGGACGACCGGCCACACUGGAACGGAGACACGGCCCAGACUCCUACGGGAGGCAGCAGUGGGGAAUUUUGGGCAAUGGGCGCAAGCCUGAUCCAGCAAUGCCGCGUGCGGGAAGGAGGCCUUCGGGUUGUAAACCGCUUUUGGCAGGAACGAAACGGUGUCCGCUAAUACCGGGCGCUAAUGACGGUACCUGAAGAAUAAGCACCGGCUAACUACGUG